AUUAUGACGUGCUUGCACUGAAUGAGAUUUUAACACGAAGUGAGUGGCGGACGGGUGAGUAACACGUGGGUAACCUGCCCAGAAGCAGGGGAUAACACCUGGAAACAGAUGCUAAUACCGUAUAACAGAGAAAACCGCCUGGUUUUCUUUUAAAAGAUGGCUCUGCUAUCACUUCUGGAUGGACCCGCGGCGCAUUAGCUAGUUGGUGAGGUAACGGCUCACCAAGGCGAUGAUGCGUAGCCGACCUGAGAGGGUAAUCGGCCACAUUGGGACUGAGACACGGCCCAGACUCCUACGGGAGGCAGCAGUAGGGAAUCUUCCACAAUGGACGCAAGUCUGAUGGAGCAACGCCGCGUGAGUGAAGAAGGGUUUCGGCUCGUAAAGCUCUGUUGUUAAAGAAGAACGUGGGUGAGAGUAACUGUUCACCCAGUGACGGUAUUUAACCAGAAAGCCACGGCUAACUACGUGCCAGCAGCCGCGGUAAUACGUAGGUGGCAAGCGUUAUCCGGAUUUAUUGGGCGUAAAGCGAGCGCAGGCGGUCUUUUAAGUCUAAUGUGAAAGCCUUCGGCUCAACCGAAGAAGUGCAUUGGAAACUGGGAGACUUGAGUGCAGAAGAGGACAGUGGAACUCCAUGUGUAGCGGUGAAAUGCGUAGAUAUAUGGAAGAACACCAGUGGCGAAGGCGGCUGUCUGGUCUGUAACUGACGCUGAGGCUCGAAAGCAUGGGUAGCGAACAGGAUUAGAUACCCUGGUAGUCCAUGCCGUAAACGAUGAUUACUAAGUGUUGGAGGGUUUCCGCCCUUCAGUGCUGCAGCUAACGCAUUAAGUAAUCCGCCUGGGGAGUACGACCGCAAGGUUGAAACUCAAAAGAAUUGACGGGGGCCCGCACAAGCGGUGGAGCAUGUGGUUUAAUUC
Molecule: ribosomal RNA, 914 nt
Filed under: Pediococcus acidilactici
Lineage: Bacteria; Bacillati; Bacillota; Bacilli; Lactobacillales; Lactobacillaceae
Description: bacterial SSU rRNA
Rfam family: Bacterial small subunit ribosomal RNA
Source: RNAcentral